Molecule: ribosomal RNA, 551 nt
Filed under: Lisarda rhypara
Lineage: Eukaryota; Metazoa; Arthropoda; Insecta; Hemiptera; Reduviidae
Description: partial 16S ribosomal RNA
Rfam family: Bacterial large subunit ribosomal RNA
Source: RNAcentral
AGAUUCUUCGCCUGUUUAUCAAAAACAUGUCCUUUUGAUAAUUUAUUUAAGGUCUAACCUGCCCAAUGAAYAAUUGAAUGGCCGCGGUAUUUUAACUGUGCUAAGGUAGCAUAAUCAUUUGUCUUUUAAUUGAAGGCUGGAAUGAAAGGUUGGACGAAACAUCAAUUUUCUUUAAUUUAAUAGUAGAAUUUAAUUUUUUAGUUAAAAAGCUAAAAUUUUUUUAGGGGACGAGAAGACCCUAUAGAUCUUGAUAAAGUUAAUAUUUAUUAAUUUGGGUGUUGAAUAUAAUUGAAUAUAAAGUUUUAUUUGAUUGGGGCGAUUCUAGAAUUUAACAAACUUCUGGUUUUAUUUUUCAUUAAUUAAUGUUUGUUUGAUCCGUUAUUAGUGAUUAAAAGAUUAAGUUACCUUAGGGAUAACAGCGUAAUUUUUUCAGAGAGUUCAUAUUAAUGAAAAAGUUUGCGACCUCGAUGUUGGAUUAAAAUAAGUGUUUGGUGCAGUAGCUAAAUUACUAGGUCUGUUCGACCUUUAAAUUUUUACAUGAUCUGAGWUCA